UAAGGUUCAAAUGUACCAGUCAAUUGUACAACCGAUGAUUAGUGAUAUCCUUGACGGAUAUUACUUCACAAUUAUAGCCUGUGGCCAAACUGGUUCAGGCAGUACUUUUACAAUGGAAGGGGAGAUACCAAAUGGACCUCUUCCUUGGGACGCUUGUCAAUGUGGACAGGGCUCCCGAAAAGUUUCAAAUGGAACUGAUCGACCUUCAGUGCAACAAUGACUU
Non-coding RNA from Zootermopsis nevadensis, 223 nucleotides. The record is from RefSeq and is a predicted model, not a curated record. Lineage: Eukaryota; Metazoa; Arthropoda; Insecta; Blattodea; Termopsidae.